UUACAGAUACUGCCGACCCUUUCCGGGCCCAAGCAGGAGUGGGUACAUCAGUCUCGAGCGGUGCUUCACUACCAGCGGCGACAACAAUAGGCGAUUCGACGCUUCAGGAAGGAAGUUGACGUCUCGCCAAUCCACUGGUGAAGAGCUGCCAAGACUCCGACAAUUGGGGACGACAAAUAAGGGGAACUGUUUUCACACGCAUGCGUAUAAUGAGCACACAAAGGAAAAUGCGGCUCAUCAUUGAAGCGCGUGACAUUACCUCGUGCGGUUUACCGUCUGUGCCAAAAGGUAAAAAGCCAGUCAAAAGAAGUGCCUCCUGUAUGUAGCACGGCCAUUGCUUGGAAUGUUAUGCAAGUGCUUAAGGAAGCAAUCGAAUUCAAUCUAUUUUGCUUAACUUACAAAGCUUUGAAGAGCUACUACUGUUAGACUGACUACACGAUACAGCUACUACAACGGUCACGGGCGGAUUGACCUUUAAACUUUUGACACAUUCCACCCGUGUCCGUUGUCGUAGCUGUAUCACAUAGUCACCUGGCCGACGGAAACGAUCGGCGCGCCGCGCGCCAUGAGCACUAUCGGCGACGACCGUAAGAGCGAGAGAUCAUUGCUAUAGCGCCCACGUCGUUCUGCAAACCGCCCUGCCAUUAAUGUUUUAGCUAAGAAUUCAAAGUAAUUCACUCAGAACGACGAGCAAGUCAGUCAAAUAGCCACAUGCCUUUGUCUUGUCAUCCACAACGUGCAGAAGUUGAAAACUCUCGCCAUCGAAUAAAAAGUUACAUCUUA
Dermacentor andersoni is the source of this 783-nucleotide long non-coding RNA. RefSeq lists it as uncharacterized. Lineage: Eukaryota; Metazoa; Arthropoda; Arachnida; Ixodida; Ixodidae. The record is from RefSeq and is a predicted model, not a curated record.